Molecule: ribosomal RNA, 501 nt
Filed under: uncultured bacterium
Lineage: Bacteria
Description: partial 16S ribosomal RNA
Rfam family: Bacterial small subunit ribosomal RNA
Source: RNAcentral
AUUGAACGCUGGCGGCAUGCCUUACACAUGCAAGUCGAACGGCAGCACGGGUGCUUGCACCUGGUGGCGAGUGGCGAACGGGUGAGUAAUACAUCGGAACGUACCUUAUCGUGGGGGAUAACGCAGCGAAAGCUGUGCUAAUACCGCAUAAGCCCUGAGGGGGAAAGCGGGGGAUCGAAAGACCUCGCGCGAUUAGAGCGGCCGAUGCCUGAUUAGCUUGUUGGUGGGGUAAAAGCCCACCAAGGCGACGAUCAGUAGCUGGUCUGAGAGGACGAUCAGCCACACUGGGACUGAGACAAGGCCCAGACUCAUACGGGAGGCAGCAGUGGGGAAUUUUGGACAAGGGGGGCAACCCUGAUCCAGCAAUGCCGCGUGAGGGAAGAAGGCCUUCGGGUUGUAAAGCUCUUUUGUCAGGGAAGAAACACCGGCUCUAACACAGUCCGGGAAUGACGGUACCUGAAGAAUAAGCACCGGCUAACUACGUGCCAGCCGCCGCGGUAA